UGCCAGCCGCCGCGGUAAUACGUAGGGUGCAAGCGUUAAUCGGAAUUACUGGGCGUAAAGCGUGUGUAGGCGGUUCGGAAAGAAAGAUGUGAAAUCCCAGGGCUCAACCUUGGAACUGCAUUUUUAACUGCCGAGCUAGAGUAUGUCAGAGGGGGGUAGAAUUCCACGUGUAGCAGUGAAAUGCGUAGAUAUGUGGAGGAAUACCGAUGGCGAAGGCAGCCCCCUGGGAUAAUACUGACGCUCAGACACGAAAGCGUGGGGAGCAAACAGGAUUAGAUA
This 279-nucleotide ribosomal RNA is filed under the name uncultured bacterium. RNAcentral's name for it is "partial 16S ribosomal RNA". It matches the Rfam family "Bacterial small subunit ribosomal RNA", at positions 506 to 784 of the family's 1533-position model. The record is from RNAcentral.